Molecule: long non-coding RNA, 2036 nt
Organism: Synchiropus splendidus (mandarinfish)
Lineage: Eukaryota; Metazoa; Chordata; Actinopteri; Syngnathiformes; Callionymidae
Exons: 6
Source: RefSeq, a predicted model, not a curated record
ACUACACUCUUGGAGGCUCUAAAAGUAUAUCGGCAUUACAUAUAUGAGAUUAAAGAAUAACGUGCAUAAGGUCACAUAUCCUAGGCUGUACAGGACGUGAUAGUAGAGGAACACUGGAGGCAUGGACCACACUAUCUGCCAAUAAAUAAUGGUCAAAAGAAGCACGACAAACAUCGCAGCUUAGAGGAGCAAUGCCUUAAAAGGGGCUUAAGAGGUCCUGGUGUGAAAAAAGCUCUGGGGGAACCUCACAAACAAUGCGCCAAACAACACAGCACAGAUGUCAGGGAUUAAUUUGAAGAGUCGGUAACCAUCCAGAAUGAUUCAGCUCACUACUUCAAACCAAUUUCAAUACUCUCGAGUACCUUUUAUUCUGCUGAAGCCAGACAAAGCAGCGAGAAACAUUCCUGCCGUUGUGAAGAACAAAGUCAGGACGCUGAGACGGCACGUGGUACAGCCCCAUCCCUGACAGGGACGGCUGACUGAGGCGUCGGAGCUGACAGGACUCGCAGAGGGAUUUCACCCCGGGACCACAGAGGGCAGCUGCGCCCGUGUGACACGUCUUAUGGGGGGAUCAUUUGUAGCGGCGCUACGGCCUGCAUGCAGCUCGACUGAGCCUCCGUGGGCGACACUGCUGAGGCGUGGUGCAGCAGUACAGCAACGCGAGACAGAAUUCCACUUCAUUUUAAUCUGUGCCCACAGAGCCGGUCUCCUGGAGGACCAGAGAUGAGAAGCAGCUGCUGAGACCAGCUGUGGUGUCAGAACUUGGGACAAUUUCAAGCCUGGUGCACCACUGACGACCUUUCUACGGUGCAGACGACACCACUGCACCCGCGGCUUAUAGACCACUGCGGCUUAUGGAUGAACAAGAUGUAUUUUCCUCCUUAAAUUUAGUGGGUGUGGCUAAUAUUCCGGCGCACUCUAUAGCUCAUGGUACUUUCUUCUUCAUCGUGAGUGGAGGUUUCCUAUGGAAGAGGUUGGUAAUACCAUUUUUAUGUGACACCAAACCAGCCCUCGCAAUCCAGGUACAUUCAUAUUAAAAACCCUUCAUCUGUUGAACUCCUCAGACAGGAUUUGUUUGGUAAUUGAAGUGUCCUGGUGCUCUGGAGCCUGGAAACGUAAUCCAGCGCCAGAACCUGCCUGAUAUCAAAAAUGUUUCUGAACACACACACACACACACACACACACACAUCUCUAACACUGCCUGACACAGAAAAUGGCACUGCAGCUCUGUUAAGCUGUGACAUAUGAGGAUGUUUUCCUGAAGCACCUUCGCCCUGGAGGUCACUCUCGCUUGCUGAUAUGGGAAUUAAACCCUGACACCCAUGUGAUGGCCCUUAAAUCCUCACUCUUUCCAUUGUGCUUCUGUCCUCCAUUAAAGGGUUUCAGGUUAGAGACUGUUAUUUCCUGUCUGGCCUGAACAUCUGAGGCGAGUCUGGGCUCAACACCCACAGCAAGACUUCAACUGAAAACAACACACAGUGUUCAAGGUGUCAUUCCUUCCAAGUUCAACUCUGACUUGAGAACAGAGUUGGAACUCUGAUAAAUGACUUAAUGCUGGUGUUCCUGGAUCACCAUUGUGGAGGCCCUCACAACCUCCAAUAGACAGCCUUUGGAUCAGGGUCCCAGCUGGUCUCACCACCCUCGUCCAGGCCUACCCCAAGGACAUCCAGCUCAGCUUGUCAACAGCAGAGUCACCCUUGCCAUGGAGGUCAUCACCCAGGCCUGUCGCUGGGAUCAUGGUGGACAGCCGAUGAAACAAGGGCUGAGGUUGCCACUGGUCAGAGCUGACAUGGAUGAUCUCACCACCACCAAGGCUUGCACAGUACGACUACUUAGAAAACUCCAGGAAAACGUGAAACUGGCUGAAGGUCAUGUCAAGAGAAUCCAGAGGCAUUUCUGUCAUCAAGGGGAAACGCUUCUUCCUUGGUGAGGAAUUCCAACAGUCUCUGAGAAGCAUGUGAAGAGUCUAAGUUGUUGGCCUGACGCCUCCCUCAAAAGCUCUUUGGUCAUAAAUUGGUGAUUAUGAAUAAAGGCAA